CGGGGCGGGGGCACGGGGGGCCGACGGUGAGGGAUGAAGCCCUGGGGCGCAAACGGGAUUAGAUACCCCGGUAGUCCAGGGUGUAAACGCUGCGGGCUUGGUGUUGGGGGUCCUUAGUGGGCGCCCAGUGCCGGAGAGAAGUUGUUAAGCCUGCUGCUUGGGGAGUAUGUCCGCAAGGAUGAAACUUAAAGGAAUUGGCGGGGGAGCACCGCAACGGGAGGAGCGUGCGGUUCAAUUGGAUUCAACGCCGAAAAACUCACCAGGAGCGACGGAUAUAUGAAGGUCAAGCUGAUGACUUUACCUGAUUUUCCGAGAGGUGGUGCAUGGCGGUCGUCAGUUCGUACCGUAAGGCGUUCUCUUAAGUGAGAUAACGAACGAGACCCUCACCAUUAAUUGCUAGUCCUUUCUCCGGAGGGGGCGCACAUUAGAUGGGACCGC
This 438-nucleotide ribosomal RNA is filed under the name uncultured archaeon. RNAcentral's name for it is "bacterial SSU rRNA". It matches the Rfam family "Archaeal small subunit ribosomal RNA", at positions 671 to 1108 of the family's 1478-position model. The record is from RNAcentral.